CCAGGCUUGAACUGCAGAUGACAUCCUACGAAAGUAGGCUUCCGCAAGGACAUCUGUAGAGGUGCUGCAUGGCUGUCGUCAGCUCGUGUCGUGAGAUGUUGGGUUAAGUCCCGCAACGAGCGCAACCCUUGUCUUCUGUUGCCAUCGGGUUAUGCCGGGCACUCUGAAGAGACUGCCGGUGACAAACCGGAGGAAGGUGGGGAUGACGUCAAGUCAGCAUGGCCUUUAUGUCUGGGGCCACACACGUGCUACAAUGGCCGGUACAAACCGUCGCGAUCUCGCGAGAGGGAGCUAAUCGGAGAAAGCCGGUCUCAGUUCGGAUUGUAGGCUGCAACUCGCCUGCAUGAAGUUGGAAUCGCUAGUAAUCGCGGAUCAGCACGCCGCGGUGAAUACGUUCCCGGGCCUUGUAUACACCGCCCGUCACAUCACGAAAGCCGGCUGUACUAGAAGUCGCUGCGCUAACCCGCAAGGGGGGCAAGCGCCUAAGGUAUGGUCGGUGAUUGGGGUG
Molecule: ribosomal RNA, 508 nt
Filed under: uncultured bacterium
Lineage: Bacteria
Description: bacterial SSU rRNA
Rfam family: Bacterial small subunit ribosomal RNA
Source: RNAcentral